Non-coding RNA from Vicia faba (fava bean), 297 nucleotides. Lineage: Eukaryota; Viridiplantae; Streptophyta; Magnoliopsida; Fabales; Fabaceae. The record is from the annotation of a GenBank genome assembly.
AUGCAAUCGUUGAAUAUUCUAAAGUGGAAAUGGGAUAGCAUUUCUAUGGAUUUUAUGUCAGGUUUUCCGAAGAAUUCUAAGGGCAAUGAUUCUAUUUGGGUGAUAAUGGAUAGAUUGACUAAGUCGGCUCAUUUCUUGCCGAUGAAGAUUAAUCACUCUAUGGAGAAGUUAGUUGAGAUGUAUAUCGAAGAGAUUGUGAGAUUACAUGGUAUACUUUCGAGUAUCAUGUCAGAUAUAUAUCUGAGAUUUACGUCGAGGUUUUGGGAAAGUUUGAAUAAGUGUUUGGUACUAAGUUGA